AUGACAAUAAUUCAUAAGCAGCAGGAAGGAAAGUGCUCGCUCGUCUUGUCGGGCUCGUUGGAGCCAGUUCUGAGUUUAUUCAUGACAUGUGAAGUGUAUCCGCAGGCAAACUCCUCGAUGAAACGCCUCAAGACCCACACGGCACUGUCAUUUGAAUUGAAUGGACGGAAACCCCAGCCUGUUGGUGAGAAGAUACCAGAUUCUGUGAAUCGCCACAACAGCCAGGUUGCGUUUACAGCGUGGGGAACACAGAGAGCACCGGAGUUCGCAGAGCCUUCCAUGAAGCCGGAGGACGGGGCUGUAGGAGAGUGUGUGUGCCCUGCGGCCCCCUCCUUGCCCAGCACCUGGGUGCAGCCGAUACCCGAGGGGAGUGUCAGGCCCUGGACCCUGUCUCCGGGGCGUGUGCAUCUGCAGUGGCUUUGCUUGGAAGCAAAGUUACUGUAAGCAACAAAGAGUGGACACUUUCUAGCACUGGUUAUCUCUGAGCAAAAUUAUACAGUUUGGCAUAUUUUAAA
Molecule: long non-coding RNA, 515 nt
Filed under: Rhinopithecus bieti (black snub-nosed monkey)
Lineage: Eukaryota; Metazoa; Chordata; Mammalia; Primates; Cercopithecidae
Description: lncRNA (ENSRBIG00000045675.1)
Source: RNAcentral